This 240-nucleotide long non-coding RNA is filed under the name Vitis vinifera (wine grape). Its description in RNAcentral is "long non-coding RNA (VVIN_LNC005030)". The record is from RNAcentral. Lineage: Eukaryota; Viridiplantae; Streptophyta; Magnoliopsida; Vitales; Vitaceae.
GUCGACCGAGUCUAGGGAGUUGGAGGUAAGGGGAUAGAUGUGUGUCCCACACAGACAAGCAAUACAUGCAUCACAUAAAAGAAUAACAGACAUGCAAAUAACAGGUAUAUCACUCAUGUCUACACACAAGCUAGGCAAGAAUAUGAUAAGCAAGAUAGGAAUAUAAUAAGAAUAGACAAUAUGUCGAGAUAAACAAGAUAAUAUACAACAAGUAGAAUCAAUCAUGUCAAGAUGAAUGAG